UACGAAGGGGGCUAGCGUUGCUCGGAAUUACUGGGCGUAAAGGGCGCGUAGGCGGAUACUUAAGUUAGAGGUGAAAGCCCAGGGCUCAACCCUGGAAUAGCCUUUAAUACUGGGUAUCUUGAGUUCGGGAGAGGUGAGUGGAACUCCGAGUGUAGAGGUGAAAUGCAUAGAUAUGUCACAGAACACCGAUUGCGAAGGCGGCCAACUGGUCCGAAACUGACGCUGAGGCGCGAAAGCGUGGGGAGCAAACAGG
This 253-nucleotide ribosomal RNA is filed under the name uncultured bacterium. RNAcentral describes it as "partial 16S ribosomal RNA". It matches the Rfam family "Bacterial small subunit ribosomal RNA", at positions 524 to 776 of the family's 1533-position model. The record is from RNAcentral.